GGAAUCUUCCACAAUGGGCGAAAGCCUGAUGGAGCAACGCCGCGUGAGUGAAGAAGGUUUUCGGAUCGUAAAACUCUGUUGUAAGGGAAGAACAAGUACAGUAGUAACUGGCUGUACCUUGACGGUACCUUAUUAGAAAGCCACGGCUAACUACGUGCCAGCAGCCGCGGUAAUACGUAGGUGGCAAGCGGUGUCGGGAAUUAUUGGGCGUAAAGAGCGCGUAGGAGGUGGUUUAAGUCUGAUGUGAAAGACGACGGCGCAACAGUGGGGGGUCAUUGGAAGCUGGGGGACUGGAGUGCAGAAGAGGAAAGUGGGAUUACAAGUGUAGCGGUGAAAUGCGUAGAGAUUUGGAGGAACACCAGUGGCGAAGGCGACUUUCUGGUCUGUAACUGACGCUGAGGCGCGAAAGCGUGGGGAGCAAACAGG
RNAcentral lists this ribosomal RNA (426 nucleotides) under uncultured bacterium. Its description in RNAcentral is "partial 16S ribosomal RNA". It matches the Rfam family "Bacterial small subunit ribosomal RNA", at positions 358 to 776 of the family's 1533-position model. The record is from RNAcentral.